This 465-nucleotide ribosomal RNA is filed under the name uncultured bacterium. RNAcentral describes it as "partial 16S ribosomal RNA". It matches the Rfam family "Bacterial small subunit ribosomal RNA", at positions 28 to 507 of the family's 1533-position model. The record is from RNAcentral.
GACGAACGCUGGCGGCGUGCUUAACACAUGCAAGUCGAACGGAAAGGCCCUGCUUGCCGGGUACUCGAGUGGCGAACGGGUGAGUAACACGUGGGUGAUCUGCCCUGCACUUCGGGAUAAGCCUGGGAAACUGGGUCUAAUACAGGAUAGGAGCCAUUUUUAGUGUGAUGGUUGGAAAGUUUUUUCGGUGUUGGAUGAGAUCGCGGCCUAUCAGCUUGUUGGUGGGGUAAUGGCCUACCAAGGCGGCGACGGGUAGCCGGCCUGUGGGGGUGGACGGCCAUAUUGGGACUUAGAGACGGCCCAGACUCCGACGGGAGGCAGCAGGGGGGAAUAUUGCACAAUGGGCGCAAGCCUGAUGCAGCGACGCCGCGUGGGGGAUGACGGCCUUCGUGUUGUAAACUCCUUUCGCUAGGGACGAAGCUUUUUGUGACGGUACCUAGAUAAGAAGCACCGGCUAACUACGUG